GCGAGACAGUGGCCCAUUGGCCGAGUGCGACCGAUAAACUGUUCGCGGUCGACGCCGGGCGCAGCCCCGCGCGUCGCCGCCAAUGAUCAGCCAGCAGCCGCUGCAACCACAGGGAG
Molecule: small RNA, 116 nt
Filed under: Streptomyces roseochromogenus subsp. oscitans DS 12.976
Lineage: Bacteria; Bacillati; Actinomycetota; Actinomycetes; Kitasatosporales; Streptomycetaceae
Description: Streptomyces-metK RNA
Rfam family: Streptomyces-metK RNA
Source: Rfam by way of RNAcentral